UCGAGCGAGAAAGACGCAAAUUAUGCUUCGUGCGUGCCGUGUUAUCUCUCAAAAUAUGCUCCGGGCAAACAUUAUAAAGCACGAAACAUGUCGAGGUGCUCGCAGCGUUUUCCAUCGCAAUUUAAUAAGACUCGUAUCGUGUCAAAGUCGGGAGUGAAAAUAUUCGUGCGAUAGUAUUCUGUUAAUUAGUGCACAUGCGAUUAUAAUUAAUCGUGUUUCGCGAGUGUCAUGUGGAUAUCGAUGAAAAAGCAGCGAAGAACGAACAAGGGAAAAUAGGAGGAAAUCCAGGGAGAGACAUCGUGUAGCAGUAAAAACGGUGAACCGCGGGAUCAAUCUACUUCGAAAAAGAUGAAGGAGUAGAACGCGACGUGGCGAUGGAAAGGAAAGAAUCGUGGGAGGCUGCGACCGAAGAGGAAGCGGAAGAAAAGAAACCUGGGAUAUUACUUUUGCUCGUUAUCGGUUAAUUGGAAUCACAAGAUUCUCGAUCGUUUCCGAGAGCGAGAGAGAGAGAGAGAGAGACAGUCCCACCGUCUCUCCCAUCCGACUCAUCUUCCACUUCCCCCCAUUUGUGGCCCACUAUAUCCCUUUGUAACGUCGCGGGAUAAGCGACUUCGCCGAGUACAGGGUGGGAUGCAAUUACGGUCUCUCUAUAACAAACUCGACUCACGCGGUAACUACUUGCCCGGAGCUUACUCGUAGCUUACUCAUGCAUUGGCGCGAUAAAUUCACUCCUCAAGUGCCCUUCGCUGCGUUUCUGAGUUUGGAGCUAAUAAGAGUCUUUUUCACCGCUCUCUUUUUCUCUCUCAUACUCUGCUUUGUUUUCGCUUACCCUUUGUCUUUAAGGGGAUCCUUAGCUAACCUAAGUUUCCUUUCUGUUUUAUCGACAAAAUGUGAGGUUAGAUAAACUAUA
Molecule: long non-coding RNA, 910 nt
Organism: Nylanderia fulva
Lineage: Eukaryota; Metazoa; Arthropoda; Insecta; Hymenoptera; Formicidae
Source: RefSeq, a predicted model, not a curated record